GAUUGCAGUCUGCAACUCGACUGCAUGAAGCCGGAAUCGCUAGUAAUCGCGGAUCAGAAUGCCGCGGUGAAUACGUUCCCGGGUCUUGUACACACCGCCCGUCACACCAUGGGAGUCGGAAAUGCCCGAAGCCGGUGGCCUAACCGAUAAGGGAGGAGCCGUCGAAGGCAGGUCUGAUGACUGGGGUGAAGUCGUAACAAGGUACC
This 206-nucleotide ribosomal RNA is filed under the name uncultured bacterium. RNAcentral's name for it is "partial 16S ribosomal RNA". It matches the Rfam family "Bacterial small subunit ribosomal RNA", at positions 1296 to 1500 of the family's 1533-position model. The record is from RNAcentral.